This 66-nucleotide transfer RNA is filed under the name Megacopta lobata. RNAcentral describes it as "tRNA-His". The record is from RNAcentral. Lineage: Eukaryota; Metazoa; Arthropoda; Insecta; Hemiptera; Plataspidae.
AUUUAAAUAGUUUAUUUUAGAAUAAUAAUUUGUGGUGUUAUAGGAGUAUAAUAUAUACUUUGAAUC